RNAcentral lists this non-coding RNA (24 nucleotides) under Chrysemys picta bellii (western painted turtle). Lineage: Eukaryota; Metazoa; Chordata; Testudines; Emydidae. The record is from RNAcentral. RNAcentral also lists the same sequence under 4 other names.
AGGCAGUGUAUUGUUAGUUAGCUG